UUUUUUGAACAUGUGAGAAAAGCCCUCGGUAGGGUUGGAUUACUUACAGAGUAUAAACGAUGCUUGAAUGUUAAUGCAUAUUUCAAAAUGAAUGUUACAGGGAGGAUGAUAAGUUUGCUAAGUGCAGCAGCGCUGCACCAAAGAUGAAUUCAGCCUGGGGUGUUUUCUGGCAAAUGUGUCACCAUCACUCCCUGCAUAUUGCUCUGAAAUACUCAAGCUUUUCUUGACACAUAAGCUGUAAGAAUCCCAGAAGAGGCAGAGACAACAAGGUAUGUCUAAGCAUUGGAAAAAUAAACUGAUCCCUCAAAAAAAAAAUCACCCCGAGGGUUAGCAAGCCACCAACAAAUACAACAGCAGGCUGGAGCUGCAGAGCAUCCCUGGAAGAGGAGAAGAUCAAGCCUGGAAGCUGCUGUCAGGAAACCAGCAGGACUGAAGUCUCCAAUGGCCUGGGACUAAUUCAGCCCCUGUCUGUAACAGACACCCUUCGUAAAUAUUGCUGGAAAAUGGUGGAAAUCAGCAGAGACACACUGAGCUCAGCAUCCUGGCUACAGCACAGCACCUACGAAUCUGUUCUCCAGGGAGAGACCCACUUGUCCGUGUACAGCUCCCUGCAGAUGAAGGCAAUGCUUGCCCAAGACAAAGCAGCCUUUUCCGCUCCCCAGUGUUUGAGACACUUGCAUCUAAAGGUCAGGCAGGUGAUGGAAGCUACAUGGCCUUGUGCCUAUGCUUGGUGGGAUGCUGAGGCACAUGACAAAGAAGCUGGGCAGCAAUUCAAUCAUCUCCCUUCUUGGUGGUGGAGGAGGAUGGAGGCAAUCGGUCAGAAGCAAGGACAGGAUGGCACAGCUGCACACCUGUGUGUCUGCAUUCGACAUCUGCACGGAGCCCUCGGGAGCCAACCUGCAGACCUGGCAGCAGCAGGCACGACUGCAGCCAUGCACAGCACAUAUGGCUUAAAUCACCAGCUAACCUAGAUAAUUGUACAAAGAAGUGACAGAUGUCUGCUGAGGCAGGAAUUGGAGGGAGUAUGUGAAUAUGAAGAGGAAAAAGGAGAAAGAAACAACCCGGAAAAUGAGCUGAAAGACUUCCCCAAAUAAAUAUGAACGCACUAAAAUCUUUGCUCCAGAUGAAAUGUUGAACACAAGCUUACAGAAGAUUUAAGAACACUUUUCAAGUGCUAUUGCAUUAUACAAUAUUUUUCUCCCAUCCUGGAUCUUGGAAAAGGAAAGCUUUCAAACGGUAUUUCAUUUUCUCCCAAAAUGAAAAAGGUACAUAAUAAAAGCUUCACAAGAUCACCUACUCUUAUAACAUAUUUGUUUCCUCACAGGCCGUAUUUUCACCAGCGUUCCAGUGCUGAGUGUUCACCCAACCCUUGGCUUUCGUUGCCAGCAGCAAAAUACAGCAAAGCAGACGUUAUGUUUGGUGUUCAGUGCACUCUUAGCCUUCUAACACGCUUCUUUAGCAAAGCUGCAGGCAACCAAGUUUAAAAUACCGCUAUGGCAGCAGUGAGUGAUACCAAAGUGACUGACUGACCAAGCUGCUAAAACUGGGCACGUUCUACUGCUGCUUAACCACAAAAACUCAGAUAGCUACAUAUGUAUGCUUGUUUGUUUGUUUGUUUUUUUCCCAUUUCUUUCCUGAUUUUAAGGGUGUUUAUUGCAAAACACUGCAGGGAACACAUUUUCCAAGCACACGCCUUACCCCUACGUUCAGUUUUCUGAAAGCCCACCAUCUGAUAAUCCUACUGCCAGUACAUUACAUACCUCUAAGCCAGACUUAAAGCUCUAGUGAUGACACAGUCACUGGUAUAGAUAAUUUGGGUCCUAAAUGUUUUCUUUGUGCAUUGAAACAAUAUCUUUGAGCAGCUUCUUAAAUGUCAUUUCUUGCACUACACAAAGCGGGCAAUAAACAAUAAAAUUAUUCACCUUGAAGAAACCAUCUGCUGUCAUUAAGGACAUCACCACUUUCUUCUUGCUUUGAAUGGUCCUCUGAGAUGCUCUAAGUGUCAUUAAAAUGCUAUGUUUGCCGUUGUCUGUGUGCCAGGCUCAUUUUGCUUUAGAAACAAAGAUGAUGAUGGGUAAAAUAAGCAGAAAUUUCAUUCUCUAUUAGUUUGUAUAUUUCAUCUACUUUGUGAAUGUCUUUUAAAACGCUUGGUAUUUGGACAUAUUACUGGGGAGCUGCAUCAGAAGCACUAAGCUCUUGGAUGUGCGGAGCUCUGAGUGCACUGCUCUGACCCAGCACCAUGCUCUGCUGGGCCUCAAUGCUCGCUCUCUGCUGGCUCAGUGCCUCCCCCCACACACCAUUUCUCAGCACCAAGCUGACUUCUGCGACGUGCUGUGCAGAGCAGCUUGUGAUGCUGAACUGCAGCAAAGCAUGGUUAAAGUUAAACCAGGGCCAUCUGUCUCCAUUUUCCUCAUCUACUCAAUCAUAGAUGGAGAGGACAACAUCAUUUGGAAUGAAGGUUUAGCUCCCUUCCUCCUCCACACCCUCCCAUGCCUGCAAUAUACCUGCUCACUGCUUUUCUUGGAUUUGUUCCUUAUAACGAGGGCAUGCCUGAGAUGGCAGCGUGUCCCUGUGCACUGGGAGAUCCAUCACAGCCUAAAGAGGAUUUGUUGCCUGUUCCCUGGGUCAUCAGUGCAGCCCGAGUGUUGCAAUGGUCAGCCAAAGGCAUGCAGAGCUGGUCCAGCUCCCUGCCACUCAUCUCCCAGUCUUUCUUGCUUCUUUAGCUGGUUUAAAAUGGAAAGCUCAGCAGCUCCCUCCUAAAACUCCAUCCCUGCUUCAUAAAAAGACUUGAGGCUCAAGACAGAAAAACGGUUCAGGAAAAUCCAUCUCAAAACUGGCCUUUGCUGUUUAGGACAACAGUUCACAGGAGGUUAAGUCGUGCAUCUGCCCUAAAGACACAGCAGCAGCAGAAUGCCUCCUGGAGGGUGGAGGUACUGAGGUCCUGGGGGGGAGGAUCCGAAUAAAGAUCAGUCUGAAAAAGGUCAGGUAAAAUGUUGUUUUCUCAAAAGAACAAAAGGUUGAUAGCUGUAUUCAGAAUAGGCUGGGAAAAGAAAUGGGUUUUAAAAAUAAAGCUUUUCUUGUUUUAAAUGCUACAUAGUCGGGGACAUGUUAUUUUCCUCCUAAUGAAAGCCUGGAACAGCAGAUCGUUGAGACAAUAGGCUGUGCCAUGCAGGAUUCAACUUUAGUUGCAAGGUUGGAAGGUUUAUUCCUGGAGGCUAAAUUUAUGAUAAAAAACUUCCCCAAACGCAGCCAAUAUAAUGAAAGACAAUCAAACACUAAGAAAAAGCAAUCAGAUUGAAGACAACCCACUAUUAUUAAUAUAGCUGAAACCAAAAGCUGAGGUCUGUCAGCCUUAAAAAAUAGAAUUAUUUUUUUCUUAGCUCCACUGUCUUUAAUUGUUUCUUCCUCCAAUCAAAGCGUUACAAAAAUAUAAAGAAAACCUUCAAGUCAAACCGAAGCUUCUCUUAAAAUGAAAUGCAAUAAAAGCUCAAUAAAAGUAGCUUGGGAUUCUAGUGACAUCAGUUUUGCUGUUGUGGUUUCUGAUGUCACAGCAUCCUUUGAUGGGAUUAUUUCUGCAUGUUUCAUGACCCAUUCAUUAUCGUACCCAUAUUGUAGACUUCGUAUUACAGUCAACAAUAAAAAAUACCCUUGGCAACCUCCAUUACAUUCUGCAGUUAAUUUGUGUUCUCGCAAAGUGCUUAUAUUUACUAUGAGUGAUAAUCAUACAUAUGCAUGAGACCUUAAGUGAAGGAGAAUGUGCUUAGGAGCUAGCACAGAGGGAGUUUUGCCUCGAAGAGAUGUCAAAAUCAGUUCACUUUUGUUACAUAUGAGUAAUUUAAUUUCUUCUACAGUGUUAUUAGGGCAAGAAUGAAGUAACAUUCUUUGGCAUAAUUGAAGCAAAUCCCAGCAAGACAAGAGGAUAACAAAACCUUCCCAUCUUGUCAUGUCAAAUCCUUACCUACUCUGUAGGGCACACAGACACAUAUUCUUGGUGUCGAAUUAAAUUAUCCCUUUGAGUUUAUUAACUUGUUAUGUUCCACCACCUUCGGUAUAUUUACCAUUGGAUCUUUAAAUUUCCUUCUUUCUUUAGUUUACUCCCUCACAACUGACCUCAUUUUUGCAUCAGAUCAGAAAUACUAGUGGCAUUCAAUACUUUUUCAAUGGCUUCUCUCCUUCAACAUCAUCUCCAUUUCCAAUCCUCCAAUAUGAAACUAACAGCCAAGGAAUCUGUCUGCAGAAAGAGAUGUGGGAGGCUCGAUCUCUCCUUUUUGCCCUACAGCUCCUUCUGUAGUAGAAGAGGCUGCUCAGAGCCCGUGGGCUGCAGCCAUGUCAGCUCCAUGGGACAUGAGUGCAGCAUCCAGGGAGCCUGGAGCAGGCUGCAACAGAACCCUGCUGCUGCUGCUGCCUCUCUGGGUGGGCUGUUUCAUUGAUUUAAAGCUGCCAUGUCCCCUGGAGCAGAAAUCAGAGCAUUUUGAACGUGACAUGCAAGUCAUAGGAAAACUAGUAAUUUGUAGGUUAGACGAGCCAUAGCAGCUAAAUCAUGCGGUACUUUGUUGUUUCUGACUUUGCAGUAUUUCUGAUGAAACCCAGAACAAAACUUUUGUGGAGUAAGUAGCUUUUUUCAUUUUGUAAAUGAGCAUCUUUCUCAGCUUCACAAUGCAAGUACCAACAGAUGGCUGUCAGGCAGGGUUUCUCAGUGGUUAAGCCCUUGUAACCUUGCAGGCCUGUGGUCACUUGGAUGCACUUGUGAUUAUUUAAAGCUUUGAAUUUAUCAUAUUUGGCUUUAAUGGGAACUGGAGUUGACCAAUGAAACAAUUUGUAUCUGAGCCCAAGAAAGGCAAAUUUGAUGUAUGACAGUGAUCCAUUUCAGGUACAAGAGGUGGACAAGUGCUCACCUGUAUCCCUCCUGCUUGCUCUCUGUCUAGUACAUCUAGAAAGUACAUCUAGUACAAUCUGAAAAAAGAACAGUCUGAUAUUUACUUGAUACUUACCAAACUUGAAGCACACACUGCUUGGAAUGCUCCAGCAUGGCAAAGGCAUAUUUAAAUGCUCAAACUGCUGCUAUUCUUGCUCGAGAUCUUGAGAUUCAGCUGUGCUCUUCUGUUACUGCCAUCCCUCCUACCUCAUCUGUAAAACAGGAACAAAUACUAUUUAUGCUCCUGUGUAAAGCUCCUGAGAGCAUCACAGAAG
This is a long non-coding RNA of Meleagris gallopavo (turkey), 5190 nucleotides long. The record is from Ensembl. Lineage: Eukaryota; Metazoa; Chordata; Aves; Galliformes; Phasianidae.